RNAcentral lists this ribosomal RNA (662 nucleotides) under uncultured euryarchaeote. RNAcentral describes it as "bacterial SSU rRNA". It matches the Rfam family "Archaeal small subunit ribosomal RNA", at positions 217 to 879 of the family's 1478-position model. Lineage: Archaea; Methanobacteriati; Methanobacteriota. The record is from RNAcentral.
GCGGCGGAUUAGGUUGUUGGCGAGGUAACGGCUCACCAAGCCAAAGAUCCGUACGGGCCUUGAGAGAGGUAGCCCGGAGAAGGACACUGAGAAACUGGUCCUAGCCCUACGGGGUGCAGCAGGCGCGAAACCUUUACACUGCACGAAAGUGUGAUAAGGGAAUCCUAAGUGCUCAUGCACAGCAUGGGCUUUUGCCAAGUGUAAAUAGCUUGGAGAAUAAGUGGUGGGUAAGACUGGUGCCAGCAGCCGCGGUAACCCCAGCGCCACAAGUGGCAACCACAUUUACUUGGUCUAAAGCGUCCGUAGCUGGUUAUGUAAAUCUUUUGUGAAAUUGUCAAGCUUAACUUGACAGCGCGCAAAAGACACUGCAAAACUUGAGACCGGGAGAGGUUAGGAGUAUUUCUUGGGGACCGGUAAAAUGGGAUAAUCCAGGAAAGACUACCAGUGGCGAAGGCGCCUAACCAGAACGGUUCUGACAGUGAGGGACGAAGGCUAGGGGAGCGAACCGGAUUAGAUACCCGAGUAGUCCUAGCAGUAAACGCUGUGAAUUAGGUGUUGCACAACUUAUCAAGGUUGUGCAGUGUCGAAGAGAAGUCGUUAAAUUCACCACCUGGGAAGUAUGGUCGCAAGACUGAAACUUAAAGGAAUUGGCGGGGGAGCAC